UGGAAGUAAAAGUCGUAACAAGGUUUCCGUAGGUGAACCUGCGGAAGGAUCAUUCACAAGAUUAUAUUUUAUAUUACUUUGUGGAACAUUUGGUUGAAUUUACAUGUUUUAUUACAAAAAAUUAAUUAUAAUUAAAAAAAUAAUUUUAAGAAAACCUCCAACAACGGAUCUCUUGGUUCCCAGAUCGAUGAAGAGCGCAGCGAAUUGCGAAAUGUGAUGUGUAUUGCAGUGAAUCAUCAAUUCUUGAACGCACAUGGCACCCCUUUUAGGGGUAUGCUUGUAUGAGGGUGUUUAAUAUGAAAUUGCUUUGGCUUUUUUUAAAUAAAUGGUUUUUCAAAUUGUUACUAAUAGACGAAAGAAUCAGUGCAACAAGCUGUGUUGAAUCUUUCAUUAAAUCUUUUAGUUAACUACUUUAACUAUUUGCACCUCAUAUCAAGCAAGACUACCCGCUGAACCUAAGCAUAUCAAUAAGCGGAGG
RNAcentral lists this unclassified non-coding RNA (478 nucleotides) under Magnusiomyces capitatus. Its description in RNAcentral is "sequence contains 18S rRNA gene, ITS1, 5.8S rRNA gene, ITS2, 28S rRNA gene". The stretch from base 153 to 291 matches the Rfam family "5.8S ribosomal RNA". The record is from RNAcentral. Lineage: Eukaryota; Fungi; Ascomycota; Dipodascomycetes; Dipodascales; Dipodascaceae.